CAAAUCCGCCUUAAACAAAGAAAUUUUUCCUUUAUACGAAGCGUUGCUGUACCUGUAAAAAAUACAAUACUACAACCAGUAGUAUAGAGCGGCUAGGAAACAAAACAUAGCCAGGUAGAAAAAAAAACCGUUCACUAUACAUACAACGUUCAGAAAACAAAAGCUCGCCCAACAAGAUAAAACAGUAGUAUGUACAUGAACACAAAAUCUACAACUACCUGUAGUUUGUGCUCUGCUAACUCGACAACUUGUCUAGUAAGGCUCUAACUCGCAACGC
RNAcentral lists this long non-coding RNA (277 nucleotides) under Ananas comosus (pineapple). Its description in RNAcentral is "long non-coding RNA (ACOM_LNC001681)". Lineage: Eukaryota; Viridiplantae; Streptophyta; Magnoliopsida; Poales; Bromeliaceae. The record is from RNAcentral.